Molecule: ribosomal RNA, 96 nt
Filed under: Caerostris darwini
Lineage: Eukaryota; Metazoa; Arthropoda; Arachnida; Araneae; Araneidae
Source: RNAcentral
CUAAUAUACCGGUUCUCGUUCGAUCACCGAAGUCAAGCAUCAUCGGGCACGGUCAGUACUUGGGAGGGUGACCACCUAGGAAUACCGCGUGCCGUU